ACUGAACGCUGGCGGUAGGCCUAACACAUGCAAGUCGCGCGAGCGGCGGACGGGUGAGUAAUGUAUGGGGACUGCCCGAUAGAGGGGGAUAAAUACUGGAAACGGUGGCUAAUACCGAAUACUACCGGAGAACACAUUUGGGCUUAGCGAGGAGGUGGGGUAAAGGCUCACCUGGGCGACGAUCUCUAGCUGGUCUGAGAGGAUGAUCAACCCCACUGGGACGAAGACACGGCCCCGACUCUGACGCAGGCAACAGUGGGGAGUAUUGCACUAUGGGCGCAUGCCUGAUUCUGCCAUGCCGCGUAUAUGAAGGAGGCCUUAGAGUUGUUAAGUACUUUCAGCGUGGAAACGUUACCCGCAGCAGAAGCACCGGCUAACUCCAUGCCAGCAGCCGCGGUAAUUC
Molecule: ribosomal RNA, 403 nt
Filed under: uncultured bacterium
Lineage: Bacteria
Description: partial 16S ribosomal RNA
Rfam family: Bacterial small subunit ribosomal RNA
Source: RNAcentral